RNAcentral lists this ribosomal RNA (470 nucleotides) under uncultured bacterium. Its description in RNAcentral is "bacterial SSU rRNA". It matches the Rfam family "Bacterial small subunit ribosomal RNA", at positions 17 to 507 of the family's 1533-position model. The record is from RNAcentral.
UCAUGGCUCAGAUUGAACGCUGGCGGCAUGCCUUACACAUGCAAGUCAACGGCAGCACGGGAGCAAGUCCUGGUGGCGAGUGGCGAACGGGUGAGUAAUAUAUCGGAACGUGCCCAGUCGUGGGGGAUAACGUAGCGAAAGUUACGCUAAUACCGCAUACGCACUAAGGUGGAAAUGGGGGAUCUUCGGACCUCAUGCUCAUGGAGUGGCCGAUAUCUGAUUAGCUAGUUGGUGAGGUAAAGGGCUCACCAAGGCGACGAUCAGUAGCUGGUUUGAGAGAACGACCAGCCACACUGGAACUGAGACACGGUCCAGACUCCUACGGGAGGCAGCAGUGGGGAAUAUUGGACAAUGGGCGAAAGCCUGAUCCAGCAAUGCCGCGUGAGUGAUGAAGGCCUUCGGGUUGUAAAGCUCUUUUACUCGGGACGAUAAUGACGGUACCGAGAGAAUAAGCCCCGGCUAACUCCGUG